RNAcentral lists this long non-coding RNA (3761 nucleotides) under Prunus persica (peach). Its description in RNAcentral is "long non-coding RNA (PPER_LNC002153)". Lineage: Eukaryota; Viridiplantae; Streptophyta; Magnoliopsida; Rosales; Rosaceae. The record is from RNAcentral.
UUGUACCGGCGUAUGGGGAGGUUAUGUGGGAUACAGAGAAAUGAAUUAAGAUAUCGCUCAAGUGUGGAAUGGGAUUUUAGGAAGAACUACGUGUGGCUUGAUCCCUCAAGGAGGGUACGUAGGCAGCCUAAGGUUAUUAGGCGCAGCCGCAGACUAAAUAUUAGUCAUAAUUUGUAUUUGAAUGGUUUGGUAGUUGGAUAGGAAUUAUUGAAAGGCCGAAGGCCAUUUGUGUGAAUUGCAUGAAAUUAUAUUGUGCAUGCUGCCAGUUGGGAAUAUUAAAUGCGUUUUUAUGCAGGUUGAAAUUUUGAGAAAUGUCCAAUUUAUAGGGGAGACUCUGCCGGAAUUUCGGCAGGAAGUCUCGGUUUUUAGUAAGUGGGCCUGGCAUCGGGGUGAUGUCAGGAAUUCCAAAGGGUUCGUCUCGGGUUUUGAGAAAAUUCGGGGCGGGUCUUUAAAGUUGGUAUCAGAGCUCUAGGUUCAAUUCCCUGUGGACCCAGCACUUUAUGUGCAUCCUUAAAUUGUGGGGAUCAAAAUGGGUUCCAUCUCGGAAUGGUACAUUUGCAACGUUGAUGACGUCAUAAAAGUCAAGUUAUUUCACAGAGGAAAGAUACAUAGGCCGCCGGAGCAUAGGAAGGGCUGGAGCUUUACCACAGACAGUGGUUGUUUCAGAAGUUCCGGAAGAUUGCGAAUAGAAGCCGAAAGUUUGCAUAGGGUAAGACCUGUACUUAUGGUACAGUUGGAUGUCCCUAUGACAAAGUUGUCCGUUGAGUCCGCAUAAGCAGGAGGUAGGGAGUUGAUCAACCUGCUUCUAGGGAUCCUCCAUUGCCUGAACAUGUUGCUAAUUUUCGAUUGUGUGCCUAGAGCACCGAGUCGAAGAUCCUAAGAGCAUAACCUCUCUCUGGGACAAGCAACUCCCCGACAUUGGAUCAAGGGAUCCAAGGUCUGAAAGGUGGUGUUAGAAUAAUCGAAAUCACAAGUGUGAAAAAAAAAAAAUAGCCUUAAUUCUCUUACAGAAAGAGGCUCGUGUGUGGUGGGAAUACUGUGGUCAAGUCUAAGGACGAGACCCAGAUGGAUUGAGAAAUCCUACCUAUGGAGAUGGAGAGAGUACUUUGGGGUCUCAUCUCACGUGAGCACGUUUGAGUAGAGAUCUUUCAUUGGAAUCAGAAAUGGAUCAUGGUCGAGAGAGAUCGAUGAUGAUUACAAUUCGGUAAAAAUGAUCAUUUCUGACUUUUCUCUCAAGGAAUCGUGUUAGCAAAUUAAAGGGAGAAGUAGUGGAGUUGGGUGUAACCGUACUUCAUUCGCGUGGGCUUGAAUGCCGCGAUUGACAGGAGUGGAACAUUAGGGUUCUUCCUCCUUGCUCUCUCACGUGAGCUCGCCAUAGUUAGAGAAGGAGACUUCUCUUUCUCUGCUUGCUUAGCUAGAGCUUUUGGCUUGGUUGCCAACGCGAUUGUGGAGAAAGAACUUGGGAACCCGAGUGGUAGAUGCGGGCCCCAUACUCACAACCCUUCGAGUGACGAGGUAGGAAAUUUCGGGGACGAAAUUUUUAUAAGGGGGGUAGUCUGUAACACCCCGACCCCAAAUUUUCCCAAAUUUUACCCUCAUUUAAUUAUUUAAUUAUUUAAGGGUAUUUUAGUCAUAUUUUUAACCGGAGAGAGUUUGGGACCGUGACUUAUAUUUUUGGAUAGGUCGUACUGAGACGAGUUCACAGACACGUAGUGGGCUCGAAUCGGAGUUGUAACGAGAGAGAUAUGGUCAAAAGAAGUCCAGUGGCAUAAUCGUAAAUAUUUCGAAAUGGGAUUUUUUCUAAAAAUCUGGUUUCUCUCUCUCUCCUCUCUCUCUCUCCCGCGACCUCUCCCUCUCUCCCGUCAGCUCUCCCUCUCUCGCUCCUCGCAACUCCGGCCACCGGCCAUGGCUGUGGACGGGGCCGGUACCAAAAUGACCGGGGCGUCGUCCUCUUCCAGCCCCAGCCGUCUCCCGCCUCCAGCCGCCGUGGUUUCGCCGGAAAAUGGAGGAGAAGCGGCCGGCGUCGUCCGAUCUUCGCCGCCGUCGAUCUCCCUCCUCCGGCCACCAAAUCCAACGAGCAAGGUAUGGUUUCUCACCUAUUUUUCAUGCUCUAGCUGCCUGUUGGGUAGGAUUAGAUCGAUUCGUAGCGUAGGCAAUUCGAUUUUCGAAUUGAAAAUCGGCCGAACUUCGGCCGCCGUGAUCGGGCAUUUCCGGUCACUUUUUGGGGUAGGUCCAAGAACAAAAGUGACUCCAAAUGAGGUGUUUUACCUAGGAUAGGAGUUUGGAGUCUUGGUUCCGAGAUUUUUCGACGAACCAUAAUCGCUUUGGACACCCGAUCUGCCCGCGUGUGUGGCAGCGCGUGGGCGAGGGUGGUGGAGUGACUCUGGGCAGUUUUGAGAUCCUCGUGCCGUCACGAGUGCGUAGGAUUUCGCGGAUCUCAAUUCGGACGUCGUUUGACUAUCGAACGGAUAAUCGCAUAUUAUGCGUUAUCUGGGUUUGAUAGGUUGGGACCGUCGGAUGGUCCCAAAUUUAAUAUAUGUUAAUCUAGGUAUUUCUAGGAUCGUGUAGGAAUUUACGGAUCGUGAAUCAGAACCCCGGAUGUUCCGAAUAAUAAUUUAAAGUUUAUAUUUUAUAUUAACCGUCAGAUCGUGCGAUCGUGAGCGAUCCGACCGUCCGAUCUGAACCAAACUUGCAGGACAAGUGUCCUAUACCUGGUAGAACCCAUAGGGACUUCCGGAUCGGAAAUUGGAGGUCGUGGGUUCUGCAGGUCCGGUUGACCAGGGUUAGAAUUGUUUGACCCUUGGUUGACCGUGAGUCUUCCGGUGUAAUCCCACCUUUUAAGGGGGGAUUAUCGGGUGCUAGACCAUUGUGGAGGAUUACACAAUAUAAGAAUUAAUUUAUAUAAAUAUAAUCAUAUGUGGUUGUACAAGGGUACAACAGAGUCUAGAAUGUCAGUUUGGAGUGCUAUACGCACUACUUUAGGUACCUCAUCGGACUUUGGAUUCACUACAUGCACCACCAAGUGAAAGCUAGGUCCCGCGUGGCGUAGGUUAUCCAGCGUUGGGACAGGCCCCAUGCGUGGCGUUGGUUGUACCGGCGUAUGGGGAGCUAUUGUGAUAUUGUGUUGAGGUCGCACGUGGCGUAGGUUAUCCGGCGUGUCGACAGACCCCAUACGUAGCGUUGGUUGUACCGGCGUAUGGGGAGAUUUGUGAUGUGAUGUUGAGGUCCCGCGUGGCGUAGGUAAUCCGGCGUUGGGACAGGCCCCACACGUGGCGUUGGUUGUACCGGCGUAUGGGGAGUUAUGUGAUAUGAUUUGCAGGUCUCACAUGGCGUAGGUUAUCCGGCGUUGAGACAGACCCCAUACGUGGCGUUGGUUGUACCGGCGUAUGGGGAGAUAUUAUGAUAGUAUGGCAUGGUCGCACGUGGCGUAGGUUAUCCGGCGUGUUGACAGGCCCCAUACGUGGUGUUGGUUGUACCGGCGUAUGGGGAGGUUAUGUGGGAUAUAGAGAAAUGAAUUAAGAUAUCGCUCAAGUGUGGAAUGGGAUUUUAGGAAGAACUACGUGUGGCUUGAUCCCUCAAGGAGGGUACGUAGGCAGCCUAAGGUUAUUAGGCGCAGCCGCAGACUAAAUAUUAGUCAUAAUUUGUAUUUGAAUGGUUUGGUAGUUGGAUAGGAAUUAUUGAAAGGCCGAAGGCCAUUUGUGUGAAUUGCAUGAAAUUAUAUUGUGCAUGCUGCCAGUUGGGAAUAUUAAAUGCGUUUUUAU